GUUUCAGUUUCAUUGACCUGAGGCAGUGUCUAGAAAACAAAAUGGUGGUUUCACCCCCUGUUUAUCUGAAAAUCUCAUAAAUUGGAGUACUUGAUGGCAAAGAAUGAACACAGCCCUAGAGGAAUAGAGAUACUGCUGUGCAUGCUACAGUUAGCUGGCUGGCUGACCACGUGUAACUUCAGCCUAAUAUCUGAUUUUCCUAAUAUCUGUAGCUCAGCAUGAGGCCUUUUCAGGAUUUCUGAACAGAAAAAUCAAUCCAGCAACCAGAAGGAAAAUCUAAAGGUCGGGAACGAGACUAGAAGGAGGGACCCCCAAGGAAGAGAACACCUUUUGCGUAUCCCUUGUUCACUAUAUCUUGAACAUCCUUUUUUCUUAUGAAACAAAAAAUUUGCCAGUCAUGUAACUCCUGGUGUUCAUACUAAAUUCUCUGUUAACUUGACCUUGACAUAGCCCAUUAUGUAAGUUAACACACUCUGCAUGGAGGAGGAGCGAGGGGGAAGCUCACUGCCCUUCCCUUCCCCUGGCCUGGCCCUCACAUCCUCUGCACCAGUGAGGGGGAGGAUUAGCUGGCAUAGUGAGCCUCGCCCCUCCAAAUGCCCCACCUAGAAAUGUGGCUGCCCCAGUUAACAAGGACGGCUGGCCAUGGGUCUCCUUCCACUGCUGGCCUGGAGCUGGUCUUCCUGGGGCGAGUGUUGUCAUGUGCGAUAACAGCGGCAUCUCUGGCCCUUGAAGCUCCCCCUCCCACUGCUGCUUCUCCAGUGCUGCCAAUGGCCACUGACUGGACAGCCAUAAAAGCAUCAUAGCCCUGUUAUAAUAAUAAGCCCUGACAGAAUGGAGCUGUGGGUUCGCAUGCAGUCCUAACCUAAGCUUGUCACUGCAGAAAUAAAUCUGGGGGGCUCAACCCUCCGGGGGUGGCCUCUUGCCUUGGCCGGGCAGUGCCUUCCCAGCUGGCCAGGUCCUGUACCAUUGGCUGAGCGGCUGCAAGGUGAAUCCCCUUUGUAUGUAUGGGCAGGGUGUCUGCCCGUCCUAGAAGGGGGCUCUCUGGUCCCCAUGCCUCUCCCAUCUUGCAUUAUUACGCCUGUCCCAUCCAGGCCAUUUGUUCUAACUAACAAAGGGUGCGCAUCAGGUGAAGACAAGGCCACUGUGAUGGGCAGGAGAGAGAGCCAGAAGCUGAAGGCCUGCCCUGUUGCAGAGGCAGAGCGCAUUUGAUUGCACCUCACCAAUUCAGGAAGACUGAUUUGCAUUUCACCGAGGGCUGUAAAUCAUCUCAGUAAGCCAUGAUGGCAGUAGGACCAGCACCAGGAACUUUAUUUAUUGUCUGUAACUUUCGUUUUGCUCUGUGUGUAUGUAUUUAAGGCUAGAUUAUUUAUUUUGUAAUAUUGAAUUUAUUCAAUCUUUGCUGAAUUGGUGAUUUUUGUCCUAUCAGAAUUUCUUGUUUUGUAAACCAAUUUCAGCGUGCGCACACACACUCAUGCCCCAAUGUUCUGUAUUUUAAUAGUAAGUGGAGAUUUGCUGUCAGACUCCUUGAGCACGGCUGUCUGUGGUGACAUAAA
Rhineura floridana is the source of this 1553-nucleotide long non-coding RNA. RefSeq lists it as uncharacterized. Lineage: Eukaryota; Metazoa; Chordata; Lepidosauria; Squamata; Rhineuridae. The transcript has 3 exons. The record is from RefSeq and is a predicted model, not a curated record.